RNAcentral lists this long non-coding RNA (379 nucleotides) under Homo sapiens (human). RNAcentral describes it as "HSALNT0312139". The record is from RNAcentral. Lineage: Eukaryota; Metazoa; Chordata; Mammalia; Primates; Hominidae.
GGAAGAGCUGCCCUCAGCGUGGCCGGGCAACAUCUAAUCGGCUGAAAGCUUGGAUCGAAUGAAAAGGCAGAGGAAAGGUUCUGAAGACCUCAAAUGGACUGAGCCACACUACCAGCAUCCAGCAUCCAUGGUUCUCCAGUCUGCAGAUGGCCUAUUAUGGGACUUUUCAGUCUUCAUAAUUAUAUGAGAGAAAGAAAAUGAAAAGGAUUUGUAAACUAUAAAUCUCUAAACAGAUGGGAGGAAAGGAAUUGAUGAAACAAUAAAUUUAUUGAUGAAACAAUAAAAAUAAACAUAAAGAACCAAAGCGUUUUGUAGAGAAGAGGACUCACUUUGUUGCCCAAGCAGGUCUUGAACUCCUAGCCUCAAGUGUCACUCCUGC